This 282-nucleotide long non-coding RNA is filed under the name Trifolium pratense (red clover). RNAcentral's name for it is "long non-coding RNA (TPRA_LNC008456)". Lineage: Eukaryota; Viridiplantae; Streptophyta; Magnoliopsida; Fabales; Fabaceae. The record is from RNAcentral.
CCGAUGGUGAAGAUAGCUGAUCAUAUGAUAUUUUCUUAUAUAUUCAAAGUUUCAAACAAGAACAUAAGCUAAAAUAAUUCAAAAGAAGUAAUGUAUAAUUAAAUGGGAAUAGCUCAUGCAGAAACAUUUAUAUUCCAAAUCAUUAAACUGGAAUUAAUGAAUAUAUCGAGCUGUAAAUUGCAUGAUACACUAGAACGGAUCACAAUUGCAUAUCAUGAAACCAAAGAGAACAAGUAGCAAAAGGAAGAAGCAAUAAUAUUGCUCCAUGAAGAAGCUAGAAUG